RNAcentral lists this ribosomal RNA (253 nucleotides) under uncultured bacterium. RNAcentral's name for it is "partial 16S ribosomal RNA". It matches the Rfam family "Bacterial small subunit ribosomal RNA", at positions 524 to 776 of the family's 1533-position model. The record is from RNAcentral.
UACGUAGGGGGCAAGCGUUGUCCGGAUUUAUUGGGCGUAAAGAGCGUGUAGGCGGUUUGGUAGGUCCGUUGUGAAAACUCGAGCUCAACCUCGAGACGCCCGAUGGAAACUGCAAAGCUAGAGUCCGGAAGAGGAGAGUGGAAUUCCUGGUGUAGCGGUGAAAUGCGCAGAUAUCAGGAAGAACACCCGUGGCGAAGGCGGCUCUCUGGGACGGUACUGACGCUGAGACGCGAAAGCGUGGGGAGCGAACAGG